Molecule: non-coding RNA, 24 nt
Filed under: Arabidopsis thaliana (thale cress)
Lineage: Eukaryota; Viridiplantae; Streptophyta; Magnoliopsida; Brassicales; Brassicaceae
Source: RNAcentral
AAAGAACUGCAAAACGGUAAUUUU